AGCAGAGUUUCAGGAAGCACAGAAUAACUCUCAGCAUGUUCAGGAAUCCAAGGAGGAUGUUUAAUACACGGCCUUAUUUUCACGGCGGUGAAACGUCGAGGAGCUCUGACAGGCGUUCUCUUCACCUUGAAAUCUGCUCCACCAGUCUGACUGGUGCUUCAUCGUGCCAGCAACUCCAGUUUGCUUUUAGAGGGAAUUAACUCUGAUAUACAGCUCUCUGACUUCACCUUUUGUUUUACUUUACUCGGCUAAAAACAUCAAAUGUGGCAAAAAUCUGAAGUUUUAAGGAAGUGAAGAAGAGCUGUGUUUGUUUUUGGCUUAAUGACAGCAUAUUAGUGACACUGUGGGGAUUUCCACACAACAACGGUGACACGAGACCUGCUGACAGACAGUAAGCUCAACGUUUCUCAGUGAAAUCGGAGCGUUUGUGAACGCGGAUUCAAACAGGACUUCAUUUAUUCGCUGCACUCCUUCCUGCUUUAGCUCUUCCUGAAACACGCCUCCAAAGACUGUCUUUCAUCUUCAUAUCUGUCAAACACCGGGAAGCUCGUCGGAGGAAUGCAAACGCCCCACAGCAGACUCGGUUCAGUCACGUGACCUCCCUCAGGAGCCGUUUCAGAUGCUGUCGACAGAGCAGUGGGCGGGACCGAGCUGCAGGUCAACAUUAAACCGAUCGGCCCAGAGGCAGAGCUGCAGCUCCGGCUCAGAAACAAGGCGACACGUUUGUCAGCGAUCGGCUCACGCUUCAUCGUCGUCGUCGUCACGUGGAGGACGGGGCGCUGUUUAUCAGUCACGUGACUCCCCGCCGGGCCGGACCCACGCCAGCUUUCUAUACCGCCCAUCCUGCUCCAGACACGAGUGAAGUCUGGUUUAUUUUCAUGUUACAUUAAUAUUAAUUACUUACAGGGCUCACAGCUGACAAGCUCGCCGUCUUUUCUCAUCUGGAAAAAUAAGUCAUUUGCAUUUCUCCUUCUUCUUUGGUUCUGUCACGUCUCUGCGGUCUGAUUUUCUCCCUGCAUACAUUAUUAUAUUUUUGGGCGAGCGUCAUUAGCAUGUACAGUAGACCUCAGAAGAACGAGCCCACUCUGCUUUCUUGGUUUGACCCAUUCCAGUUUUUCCAUCGCUGAUAUUUUUGGAGCGAAUCUGCUUUUUUGUGCCAGUUUUCAAUAUCUGAGAAUUUGGCCUCGUCCUGCCAAAAACUUCAAACAAUUACAAGUAUUCAGUGUUUCCCCCAGUUAUUCUUGGCAGUGUGGAAAAGCCUGUGAAGCUGCGUGCAGACCGCAGGAAGCUGCGCUGCUAUUAAUACUCUGUUCGUAUACCCACUUCUCAGCACUAAAGACACAUCAGUGUUUUUAUAUUGAUUAGUAAUCAGACGAGGAAGAGCCUGAGAACAGCCAGUCAGUCACUGCGCUGCCAAUGAAGAUGCAGGUUGGUGCUAGCACACGUUUCUCCAGGACUUCUUUACCCUCGACCGUCAGACCGGGCUCACUUUUUACUGUUUCUGGGUUUUCUCUGACUUUUAAACACGUCUGUUUUUCAUGUUUAAAAAACCAAAAACAAACUACUAAAUGAGCCACCGGGAGCAUCGCAGCAGACGCUGGUAAAAACAAGAGGAAAUUUCUAUUUUUCGGUGCAUAAAUGCUUCAGUCUUUACAGAUAAACGACUGUUCAGUAUUCAAAAAUAUGAUCGUCUCCGGUAACUGCUCAUUAGAGAUGCACAAAUCGUGACAUUCUACAACAGAACAGAUGUUUAAAAUAAAAAUUUGGUUGACGCUG
Astatotilapia calliptera (eastern happy) is the source of this 1776-nucleotide long non-coding RNA. NCBI's taxonomy places the organism in Eukaryota, Metazoa, Chordata, Actinopteri, Cichliformes, Cichlidae. The record is from Ensembl.